CCUACGGGGGGCAGCAGUGAGGAAUAUUGGUAAAUGGGCACUAGCCUGAACCAGCCAAGUAGCGUGAAGGAUGACUGCCCUAUGGGUUGUAAACUUCUUUUAUAUGGGAAUCAAGUGCAGUAAGUAUCCUGCUUUGCCUUUACCUUAUGACUACGGAUCGGCUCACUCCGUUCCAGCAGCCGCGGUACUACGGAGGUUCCGAGCGUUAUCCGGAUUUAUGGGGUUUAAAGGGAUCGUAGGCGGGUUGUUAAGUCAGGUGUGAAGGUUUGCGGCUCAACCGUAAAAUUGCAGGUGAUACUGGCAGCCUUGAGUACAGUAGAGGUAGGCGGAAUUCGUGGUGUAGCGGUGAAAUGCUUAGAUAUCACGAAGAACUCCGAUGGCGAAGGCAGCCUGCUGGACUGUAACUGACGCUGAUGCUCGAAAGUGUGGGUAUCAAACAGGAUUAGAUACCCCAGUAGUC
Molecule: ribosomal RNA, 460 nt
Filed under: uncultured bacterium
Lineage: Bacteria
Description: partial 16S ribosomal RNA
Rfam family: Bacterial small subunit ribosomal RNA
Source: RNAcentral